CAGAAAAUUAAUAAUGGGGCUCGGAGGAAAUGUUCGACUCGGAGGCAGUAGCGGAGAUUUACGGCCUUCCUGGUGGAUGCCAGGGAAAAGUCUGAGAGCACCCGGAGCAGACAAAGGCCCGCGGUUUCGCCAGGCGCUCCCGGAGAGCUAAUUUGGCUUAACGGACGGAGGAGCCGGGGAAUUUCCCCGUGUGAUCCAGCAGGUUGCUGGAGAGGGAUUUCUCGGGAGGCACAGAGCGGCUGGGGGUGGGAGGCAGGGACCCAGCCCUCAGCCCCCGGGCACAGCACGUGGCUGGGCUGGGCUGCUCCGGAGGAGGGCUCCGUGGGCAGGAACCCACCCCAGGCACCCCACAGCUCUGCGGGGAUCCCCCAGAUUCCCCAGGAUGCUGCACGUGCCGCUCUGAAACCUCAGCUUUCCUCCGAGCACCCUUCUCCCAGCCUCCCCGGCACCAGGCGCGCUCUGGGAGUGCUGCACCUCCCCGGCCCUCGCGAUAAACAAAAGCCGCUUAUUUCCCCUUGCGUGGGUCCUCUGCGGGGGAAGCAGUGGGUGGUGUUUAUUUGGACAGCAGAGAGGCCUGUUCCCCCAGCUUGCUGGGUAGUGCGCGCUGUCCAAGAUGAAAACAUCGGCCGUUUAUUUGAGUCUCGCGCUGGCUGUGUAAAUACAGGGCUCGCUUCGGCAGAUGCCGGCUGGCGGCUCUGCGGAGCGGGGCUGCUCCUCGCAUCCCCCGGGCAAGCAGGGCCACCCGGCCCUACACCCCAUGGACACAGGCGGAGAGAGCUGGGGACGGCCGUGGCCGUGCUGUAGGGUCAGAGCUGUGUAGGGCCGGGGGUGAGGAGCAUCCCGCUUCCAACAUCCCGGAGCUGGCAGAGCGGGGAGCUGCCUGCAGGUCUGUCUGCAACCACGCCACCCUUUUUGGGGUGGCCCUGUCCCUGGGGACCAUGGGGACUGCUCGUCUCCUUUGCCUUGUCCUCCCUGCUGCAGCCGAGGUGGGAAGCCCCAGCAGGGGGGAGCCGGCGGGUUUCUCCAGAUGGUGCCCCGCUGACCCCAGCCGUUCCCCGUCUUUGGCUCUUCCUUAGAAAAACACAGCGCAGGCCAGCUCAUCGAUUAAUCGUUUCCUCAUGUUCCCCCCGCG
This 1132-nucleotide long non-coding RNA is filed under the name Anas platyrhynchos platyrhynchos (common mallard). RNAcentral's name for it is "lncRNA (ENSAPLG00000020464.1)". The record is from RNAcentral. Lineage: Eukaryota; Metazoa; Chordata; Aves; Anseriformes; Anatidae.